UGGUUGAUCCUGCCAGUAGUGUAUGCUUUUCCUAAAGACUAAGCCAUGCAUGUCUUCGAAUAAGAGGAAGCAAUUCUCUCUGAAUCUGCGUACGGCUCCGCACACCAGUUGUAAACCAAAGCAAGCAAGCCCGGUCUCGACGCCUUUCGGGGCUAGGGGCCGGGCUACAAGGAUAACCCUGGUAAUUCUGAGGCUAAUACUUGACACGGAACCUGCUGACUGGGCCUCGGUCCGGGAGGUAGGGGAUGUGCGACCAUCGGGCCAAAGAAACCGGAAAGAGCGCACGUUCAGACCACUUAAAAAGGCCACGGGGUCCCUCGGGAUCCCGGGGCUGUGGCUCUUGCAGCGUGCUUCUGACCUAUCAACUAGACGGCAGCCUAAGGGACAUGCUUUGGUGACAACGGGUACAGAGGAUAAGGGUUCGAUCCUGGAGAGUGGGCCUGAGAGAUUGCUCAUACUUCUAAGGAAGGCAGCAGGCGCGCAACGUUCCCAUUGGACAUCGUCUGAGGGCGUUAGGGGAAAUAUUAAUACCUGCCCAAUGGGUGGGUAAUUAAAAUGGGUCUGUUCUAAACAGGCUCUCGAGUAACAAUUAGAGGACAAGUC
Molecule: ribosomal RNA, 603 nt
Filed under: Meriderma cribrarioides
Lineage: Eukaryota; Evosea; Eumycetozoa; Stemonitida; Stemonitidae
Description: SSU rRNA
Rfam family: Eukaryotic small subunit ribosomal RNA
Source: RNAcentral